AUUUCAGGAAAUAGCAUCUUCUUUCUCUGGUGGAGGGGUUCGAGGCUUUGCGUAUGGUCCAACUUUUGUUCUUGCAAAAAUUUGUUGCACCUUUCGGGUAGAUGGUAAAAUGCAUUUUCACUUUUAUAUGAAGAUGAGAACUCAAAGAGUAGUAAUCAUUUUGAAGAAGAGGUUUACAGCACCGAAUUGGGUCAAGCACAAAGAACCCAGAGAAGUGCAUAUGUUUGUCGAUCUACUUCUUCAGGAAGUAUUUCCAUUUUCAUAAUUUCAUGCUCA
Long non-coding RNA from Olea europaea var. sylvestris, 276 nucleotides. RefSeq lists it as uncharacterized. The transcript has 3 exons. The record is from RefSeq and is a predicted model, not a curated record. Lineage: Eukaryota; Viridiplantae; Streptophyta; Magnoliopsida; Lamiales; Oleaceae.